RNAcentral lists this ribosomal RNA (253 nucleotides) under uncultured bacterium. RNAcentral's name for it is "partial 16S ribosomal RNA". It matches the Rfam family "Bacterial small subunit ribosomal RNA", at positions 524 to 776 of the family's 1533-position model. The record is from RNAcentral.
UACGAAGGGUGCAAGCGUUACUCGGAAUUACUGGGCGUAAAGCGUGCGUAGGUGGUGAGUUAAGUCUGAUGUGAAAUCCCCGGGCUCAACCUGGGAAUGGCAUUGGAUACUGGCUCGCUAGAGUGCGGUAGAGGGUGGUGGAAUUCCCGGUGUAGCAGUGAAAUGCGUAGAGAUCGGGAGGAACAUCUGUGGCGAAGGCGGCCACCUGGACCGACACUGACACUGAGGCGCGAAAGCUAGGGGAGCAAACAGG